This 95-nucleotide transfer RNA is filed under the name Paenibacillus macerans. RNAcentral's name for it is "tRNA-Lys(ttt)". The record is from RNAcentral. Lineage: Bacteria; Bacillati; Bacillota; Bacilli; Caryophanales; Paenibacillaceae.
GGAUGUGCCGGAAAGGCCGGAAUUUCCUUGCGUUUUUGCCGCAGCUUGUGAUUGUGUCGACGCAGAGGGUGAGUUCCGGCCCGCCGCUUCCUCCA